This 498-nucleotide ribosomal RNA is filed under the name Pseudomonas sp. UFLA02-303. RNAcentral describes it as "bacterial SSU rRNA". It matches the Rfam family "Bacterial small subunit ribosomal RNA", at positions 191 to 670 of the family's 1533-position model. Lineage: Bacteria; Pseudomonadati; Pseudomonadota; Gammaproteobacteria; Pseudomonadales; Pseudomonadaceae. The record is from RNAcentral.
GUCCUACGGGAGAAAGCAGGGGACCUUCGGGCCUUGCGCUAUCAGAUGAGCCUAGGUCGGAUUAGCUAGUUGGUGAGGUAAUGGCUCACCAAGGCGACGAUCCGUAACUGGUCUGAGAGGAUGAUCAGUCACACUGGAACUGAGACACGGUCCAGACUCCUACGGGAGGCAGCAGUGGGGAAUAUUGGACAAUGGGCGAAAGCCUGAUCCAGCCAUGCCGCGUGUGUGAAGAAGGUCUUCGGAUUGUAAAGCACUUUAAGUUGGGAGGAAGGGUUGUAGAUUAAUACUCUGCAAUUUUGACGUUACCGACAGAAUAAGCACCGGCUAACUCUGUGCCAGCAGCCGCGGUAAUACAGAGGGUGCAAGCGUUAAUCGGAAUUACUGGGCGUAAAGCGCGCGUAGGUGGUUUGUUAAGUUGGAUGUGAAAUCCCCGGGCUCAACCUGGGAACUGCAUCCAAAACUGGCAAGCUAGAGUAUGGUAGAGGGUGGUGGAAUUUC